This 497-nucleotide ribosomal RNA is filed under the name uncultured bacterium. RNAcentral describes it as "partial 16S ribosomal RNA". It matches the Rfam family "Bacterial small subunit ribosomal RNA", at positions 28 to 507 of the family's 1533-position model. The record is from RNAcentral.
GAUGAACGCUGGCGGCGUGCCUAAUACAUGCAAGUCGAGCGAACGCACGAGAAGCUUGCUCCUCUGAUGUUAGCGGCGGGCGGGUGAGUAACGAGUGGAUCACCUACUUCUAUGUCUGGGAUAACUUCGGGAAACAGGUGAUGCUACUGGCUCAUACUUUGUACGGCAUGGUUCAAAGGAGCUUGACGGCUUUCGCGUUUCAUUUAGCCGAUUUCGGGCUGGAUUAGCUAGUUGGUAAGGUAACGGCUUACCAAGGCGACGAUGCAUAGCCGAGCUGAGAGGGUGAUCGGCCACACUGGAACUGAGACACGGUCCAGACUCCUACGGGAGGCAGCAGUGGGGAAUAUAGCACAAUGGGCGAAAGCCUGACGGAGCAACACCGCGUGAGUGAUGAAGGUCUUCGAGUCGUAAAGCUCUUUUAUUAGGAAAGAACAUAUGUAUAUUUAACUGUGGAUGUCUUGACGGUACCUAAACAAAAAGCCACGGCUAACUUCGUG